CAGCGUGGCCGGUCUGUCCGAGCAUCAGCUGGCGAUGGGUGAUGGAGAAAAUCACUGCUAGAUAGCCCAUCCAGCCUGCGGUGAAGCUGUGCGCCCCCCCGUGGAGCCAUGAUCCAGUUCUAACUGUGGAAACUUCAAUCAGACGGAGCUGGUCACAGAUGGAGACAUAGACUUGUCUUCAAGUGUAAUGCCGAGCCAAACAACCAGUCCCGGACAUGCC
Long non-coding RNA from Nematolebias whitei (Rio pearlfish), 220 nucleotides. RefSeq lists it as uncharacterized. NCBI's taxonomy places the organism in Eukaryota, Metazoa, Chordata, Actinopteri, Cyprinodontiformes, Rivulidae. The record is from RefSeq and is a predicted model, not a curated record. The transcript has 3 exons.